Molecule: ribosomal RNA, 468 nt
Filed under: uncultured bacterium
Lineage: Bacteria
Description: partial 16S ribosomal RNA
Rfam family: Bacterial small subunit ribosomal RNA
Source: RNAcentral
GAUGAACGCUGGCGGCGUGCUUAAUACAUGCAAGUCGAGCGGACAGGCCCUGCUCUUGCGGGGUUCUCGAGUGCCGCACACGUGAGUAACACGUGAGUAACAUGCCCCUAUCAGUGUGGUAACUUCUGGAGACAGCGGCGAUUAUCCGAGAGGAUCUCUUGCUGCAUGUGGUGGAUAAGUGAAAGACGGCCGUGCGGGAUGGACUCGCGGCUUAUCCGCUGGUUGGUGGGGUAGUGGCUUACCAAGGGUUUGAAGGGUAGCCGGCCUGAGAGGGUGACCGGCGACAUUGGGACUGAGAUACGGCGCAGACUCCUAUGGGAGGCAGCAGUCGGGAAUAUUGCAGAAUGGGCGGAAGCCUGAUGCAGCAACGCCGGGUGCGGGAUAACGGCCUUCGGGUUGUAAACCGAUUUCGACUGUGACGAAGCGUGAGUGACGGUAAUGGGUAAAGAAGCACCGGCUAACUACGUG